RNAcentral lists this ribosomal RNA (373 nucleotides) under uncultured bacterium. Its description in RNAcentral is "bacterial SSU rRNA". It matches the Rfam family "Bacterial small subunit ribosomal RNA", at positions 525 to 896 of the family's 1533-position model. The record is from RNAcentral.
ACAGAGGUCCCAAGCGUUGUUCGGAUUCACUGGGCGUAAAGGGUGCGUAGGCGGUCGGGUAAGUCUGACGUGAAAUCUCCGGGCCUAACCCGGAAACUGCGUUGGAUACUAUCCGGCUAGAGGAAUGGAGGGGAGACUGGAAUACUUGGUGUAGCAGUGAAAUGCGUAGAUAUCAAGUGGAACACCAGUGGCGAAGGCGAGUCUCUGGACAUUUCCUGACGCUGAGGCACGAAAGCCAGGGGAGCAAACGGGAUUAGAUACCCCGGUAGUCCUGGCCCUAAACGGUGCACGUUUGCUGUAAGCGGAAUCGACCCCGCUUGUGGCGUAGGUAACACGAUAAACGUGCCGCCUGGGAAGUACGGCCGCAAGGUUA